GCUGCCCCCUCCGCCGCCGCCUUUCUGGGGGACUCCUUCUCGGGGUUCGGCGUGUGAGGCCGAGGCCGAGCCCCGCAGAGUGUCGGGGCGCGGCGGGGGCGUAACGGCCGGGAGCCGCGGGGCUGGGCCCCUCGAGCGAUGCCGUGAGCAGCAGCAUCCAGGCUCUCCUGUCAGAGAGCACAGCACCAUUUCAGCUCUCAUGCUGCAAGACUUCUUGGAGGGGAGAGGAAGGAAGAGCUUUGUACACUGAGAAAAUCUGGCGAGGAGGGAAGGAAAUACCGUACUUUUAAUGUUGCCGCCCAGCAGCCGAACUCCCUGCGGGGGAACCUCUUCUGUCCCUGGAGCUGAGUUUGAUCGUUGCCUCUGCACUCAGCUAUAAACCCAACCCUGCCGCCUCUGACCCCCCGUUUUGGCAGGAGGCCAGUCACCGGAGGGGUGGACGGUGGACUUCCGUUGUUCACGCUUCACCUCCGGCGCGGGGCAGUGCUGGGGACAAAGGACCAGCAGCGCCCCAGGAGGGGCCGUGGGAGCGCAGCUUGUGCGCAGGGAGGAGGAACGGCGAGGCGUACCGGGCGGCGCUUGCCGACGUGCCCUGCGCCUGGAUUACCGCCGGGUCGCCGUGCUGCCACCAUGCACCCUAAAAGCUUUCCCCUUAACCUCUCCGUUCCCCCACUUUGACCUAGCUGUCCUGUUUGCCUGCAGAUAAAGGCUUUCCGAACGUGUUUA
Molecule: long non-coding RNA, 726 nt
Organism: Gymnogyps californianus (California condor)
Lineage: Eukaryota; Metazoa; Chordata; Aves; Accipitriformes; Cathartidae
Exons: 2
Source: RefSeq, a predicted model, not a curated record